RNAcentral lists this long non-coding RNA (599 nucleotides) under Mytilus galloprovincialis (Mediterranean mussel). The record is from RNAcentral. Lineage: Eukaryota; Metazoa; Mollusca; Bivalvia; Mytilida; Mytilidae.
UGCAAUCAUAUUCAAAAUAAAUUAAACACAUUUCAUAAGUUCCUCCUAUCUGUCGAGCAACGACUCGGAUUUGUCUCUUCAAAGAUAUAAAUAUUUUAAAAUUUAAGGUAGGCUUGCAUAGCUAUCAUCUGACCCUUCAAAUUCCAACUGCAAGGUCUGUAUUUGUUUCAUCUUGUGUUUGGGCAUAGAGUUGCCUGUCUUUCCGAACUGUGAAAACCCCCGGGGUAUUGUUAUGAUUUUGUUUUAAACAGAUUUUAAAUAUCAUAUUAAAAACAUUCUUUAUUAUUUUUUGCUUAAUGUUUUCAUAUUGGAUAUAUGUAAUAAAGAGAACAACCAUUGUAUAAUAUGCAGUAAAUACAUAGUUUACAGCGUUUCAAAUAUAUAUGAGUUAUGUAGCUUUGCUCGACGAAUAUCUAUGUACUAAUAAGGAUGAAAUAAUGCUAGACACACAAGUUUUAAAUUUUUGUCGACCCUUAACGCCUCGACAUAUCUUUACAAAUUUUAUAAGACAGCUCGUAGAUAAUUUUAAGACUGAAAAUUUAUUUUAGCGAUUUAAUUAUUUCUAUAAAUAGAUAACGGGAUAUUAUUGACUACGGGAC